This 95-nucleotide ribosomal RNA is filed under the name uncultured bacterium. Its description in RNAcentral is "partial 16S ribosomal RNA". It matches the Rfam family "Bacterial small subunit ribosomal RNA", at positions 1388 to 1482 of the family's 1533-position model. The record is from RNAcentral.
CACCGCCCGUCACAUGACGAAAGUUGGUAUUAUCCGAAGUCACCAGGCUAACCGCAAGGAAGCAAGUGCCGAAGGUAGUGCCGAUGAUUGGCGUG